This 422-nucleotide ribosomal RNA is filed under the name uncultured Faecalibacterium sp. Its description in RNAcentral is "bacterial SSU rRNA". It matches the Rfam family "Bacterial small subunit ribosomal RNA", at positions 355 to 794 of the family's 1533-position model. Lineage: Bacteria; Bacillati; Bacillota; Clostridia; Eubacteriales; Oscillospiraceae. The record is from RNAcentral.
UGGGGAAUAUUGCACAAUGGGGGAAACCCUGAUGCAGCGACGCCGCGUGGAGGAAGAAGGUCUUCGGAUUGUAAACUCCUGUUGUUGAGGAAGAUAAUGACGGUACUCAACAAGGAAGUGACGGCUAACUACGUGCCAGCAGCCGCGGUAAAACGUAGGUCACAAGCGUUGUCCGGAAUUACUGGGUGUAAAGGGAGCGCAGGCGGGAAGACAAGUUGGAAGUGAAAUCUAUGGGCUCAACCCAUAAACUGCUUUCAAAACUGUUUUUCUUGAGUAGUGCAGAGGUAGGCGGAAUUCCUGGUGUAGCGGUGAAAUGCGUAGGUAUCAGGAGGAACACCGGUGGCGAAGGCGGCUUACUGGACUGUAAAUGACGCUGAGGCUCGAAAGCGUGGGGAGCAAACAGGAUUAGAUACCCUGGUAGU